GACGAACGCCGCAGGCGAGCCUAAUACCUGCAAGUCGAGCGAAGUUUCUCUGGUGCUUGCCACUAGAAAAAUUAGCGGCGACCGGGUGAGUAACCACGUAAAGAACAUGCCUCAUAGCCUGGGACAACUAUUGGAAACGAUAGCUACUACCGGAUAACAGUAUUUCUCGCAUGAGAGAUAUUUAAAAAGUUGGUUAUGCUAACACUAUGAGAAGGCUUGCGGUGCAUUAGCUAGUUGGUGGGGUAAAGGCCCACCAAGGCGACGAUGCAUAGCCGACCUGAGAGGGUGAUCGGCCACACUGGGACUGAGACACGGCCCAGACUCCUACGGGAGGCAGCAGUAGGGAAUCUUCCGCAAUGGGCGACAGCCUGACGGAGCAACGCCGCGUGAGUGAAGAAGGAUUUCGGUUCGUAAAGCUCUGUUGUUAGGGAAGAAUGGAUAUGUAGUAACUAUACAUGUAAGAGACGGUACCUAACCAGAAAGCCACGGCUAACUACGUGCCAGCAGCCGCGGUAAUACGUAGGUGGCAAGCGUUGUCCGGAAUUAUUGGGCGUAAAGCGCGCGCAGGUGGUUUAAUAAGUCUGAUGUGAAAGCCCACGGCUCAACCGUGGAGGGUCAUUGGAAACUGUUAAACUUGAGUGCAGGAGAGAAAAGUGGAAUUCCUAGUGUAGCGGUGAAAUGCGUAGAGAUUAGGAGGAACACCAGUGGCGAAGGCGGCUUUUUGGCCUGUAACUGACACUGAGGCGCGAAAGCGUGGGGAGCAAACAGG
This 769-nucleotide ribosomal RNA is filed under the name uncultured bacterium. Its description in RNAcentral is "bacterial SSU rRNA". It matches the Rfam family "Bacterial small subunit ribosomal RNA", at positions 28 to 776 of the family's 1533-position model. The record is from RNAcentral.